Molecule: ribosomal RNA, 270 nt
Filed under: uncultured archaeon
Lineage: Archaea
Description: partial 16S ribosomal RNA
Rfam family: Archaeal small subunit ribosomal RNA
Source: RNAcentral
CUGCAGCCCGAGUGGUGGUCGAUUUUAUUGAGCCUAAAGCGUCCGUAGCCGGUUUAGUAAAUGCCUGGGUAAAUCGUGCCGCUCAACGGUACGACUUCCGGGUAGACUGCUAAACUUGGGACCGGGAGAGGCUAGAGGUACUCCUGGGGUAGAGGUGAAAUUCUGUAAUCCUAGGGGGACCACCAGUGGCGAAGGCGUCUAGCUAGAACGGGUCUGACGGUGAGGGACGAAGCCCUGGGGCGCGAACCGGAUUAGAUACCCGAGUAGUCC